UGAAGUUAUAAGUUUAAUUAAAUUAAUUAAACCUUAAUUAAUUCUAAUGUUCUCCUAAUUCACAUGAUUAUUGUUUCCAACUAUCUUUCACGCAAUUUUUAGUGUUGGUUUCUAUAGAAUGACCUCCAGAACCUUCGAUUCCUUUCUCGAUUUCCUCUCCUCGAUUUUGGCUCAACAAAAGGAUUUGUGAUCCUUCACUAUAGCAAAGAGAUGAGCAGCACAGAGCAGCCGCACGAACUGGAUGACCCGCUGAAUACCGCAUACGACAUUUCAACCUUUGGGAACGAAAACAAAAUCUAGCGCCGAAAUUAUGUCGGAAGUGUUAAACUUGGUUUGCAAGCUUCCAUAAGGGCUUUAACACAAUUAGCAAAGGGGAAGAGAGAUUUGAGGUGUUACGAAGAGUUGAGAAAAUCUGUGGUUUCGAAAAGGCAAAUUCAUGUCGAGAAACCCCUUUGAGCUAUAUGAUGGCAUUAAAGCGAGUUCGAGACGAGCAGAAAGAAACUCAUCGUAGGGAUGAUCUGUCAAUCCAGACAUUUUUUUAUUUCUCUGGUUUGAUAAGGAGCUUCAACCAUGCUUCCAUGCUGAUUCAAAGUUGAUUUAUUAUUCCCAUCAUUUUCCCCAGCAGAAGUCUCCUAUCGUACUUUAAUUUUCACCUCCCGACACCACUACCAGGCCUCAUUGUCUGCAGCUGGCCCGCCUAAAAGUAACAAGAAAGACGCG
Molecule: long non-coding RNA, 720 nt
Organism: Phalaenopsis equestris
Lineage: Eukaryota; Viridiplantae; Streptophyta; Magnoliopsida; Asparagales; Orchidaceae
Exons: 5
Source: RefSeq, a predicted model, not a curated record